CCCCCCCCCCCCCCCCCCCCCCCCCCCCCCCCCCCCCCCCCCCCCCCCCCCCCCCCCCCCCCCCCCCCCCCCCCCCCCCCCCCCCGCGGGGCCGGGCCGGGGAGGAGCCCGGGCCGAGACCCAGCCCGGGAAGGACGAGCGGUGACCCCUCAGAACGCGCAGGGCCGCGGCUCGCCGGCAGCGUUUGUUUCCUCGCGCCACGCAGCCCCGGCGGGGAACUGCUGCUGCCACGGCAUUCCGUGGUUGCAGGCCGCCUCCCUCCGCCUUCAGAGGGCGCUUUGGGAAAUCCAUGAAACGUCCCCCCGAGCUCCUACGCGGAGAACUUUAAAUCUCCUUUCGCUGAAACUGCAAUACCUGCAGAGGGCGGGCACCUGCCCGCUGCCUCGAGCUCCGUUACGCCGGGGAUACCGAGUACUCUGCGUGUGGAAAAAACAAACCAACUUCAGCUUCGCGAUGUGUAAUUACAUACACUGAAUGCCGGAAUUGUAUGAAAUACAAACCUUUUUGUAUUCUCAAGGAAGAAUUAUGUGCCCUUCAAGAAACUACUCUGAGAAGCCUGUUUUUUCUGCAUUGCAGAUCUAGCCCCGUAAUUGGAUCUUCUCAUGCUUCAACCUUAAGCUGAAACACAAUGCUGUCGGGAAUGCUCUUUCUUGGCUUUGCGGCAGUUGAAGUGCUCUUGGGUUUUGGCAUUACAAUGCUUUUGCACUGGUGCCAAACCUGACGAUGAACAACGUCUAUCAAACACGACAAGUUAGUGCUCAAUUCAGUAUGAACAUAACAAGGAUCACAUCUCAAAGCACUACACUUCUCAAUCUGAUGAGCUGUCUCAGAAACUAAAAAUGUGAUGACAAAGAAGUAUUUAUAGGUAUAGCCUUAGCUGUGCAGAAUAUUAAAAAUAGCAUUUAAAAAGCAUAGUCAUGGACAAAUAGGUGCUUUAACAAAGGAGGAAACUGGAUGCAUUAUUUAACAGAGAGUUUUCAAAUAUUCAAGCAGUGUUAUUACAGAAGAACACUUAAAAUACAUUACUACCACUGCAAGACAGAUUUCCAUUCAUUCCUCUUGCAAUCUUAUGAAUGUAUACAAUAUUUUAUUCUGAUUUUCAUAUACUCAGUGGUAUUGAGAUACUGGUAAAAGGAUCAUAAUUCACAGAGAAAAUAUUAUCCUAGUUUCUGCUGUGUGGACUACUUUCUGCUAUGUCUGAAUCUAAACUUAAGGGAUAAUUUCUGUAAAAAUACACUUUACAACAGAAAGGUCAUAUUUAAAGACUGGCAUGUGAGUUACUGACCCAUCAAAGCUACAUAAUAAUUGCUCAGAUCUCUUCAGUGUUGACUAAUUCGUGAAGAAAUGAGAACUUGAGGGAAUGAGAAAUGGCAACUUGCUGCUUUAGGAUGAAGAUAUUUCAUUAGAAACAAAUACACUGAAUAGUGUAUUCCCAACUGAAUAGGGCAACUCUUGAAUCUAUUGCAUUGUAUAACAAAAUUGCUUAUCAAAAGUCAUUGUUGAUCAGUUCUGUUUAAACCAGAAAGAAAGCAGGGCUGUUAAUAUAGUGUUUAAAAGCAUUCAGUGUUCUACCUCUUCAGUCAGUAAUACAAGGGUACAUAAAUCCUGCUAAAGACAUGACACAUAAAAUUAGGCCUCAGUAGGAAAUCCUAGAGACAGUAUUUUUCUUUCUUCCAAGAAUAUCACAGCCCAGUCCUUCCCAUUUUCAUAAUAGAACUAAUGAGAUUAUUAAUUACAUUCUUGCACCACUAACACUAAGCAAUUCACCGUUUUAUUUUGCAAAAUUUGGGCACAGUACUCAGGUAAAAAUUCUAUUAAAUUUCCACAUAACUCUGGUAUUCCAUUUGUUCAAAUUGUUUAUUUUACAUGACCUUUAUCCAGGGUCCAGUGAGAAAGAUCUCCACAUACUUCAAUUUAUACUUUUUAAAAGACUUCUUGAGCUUCCUUAAUGAUUGACUUACACUUAUUCCUCUUUGUUUCAUCCCUGUCAUAAAAUGAGAGAUAAUCUUCCAACUUAAGACUUUGUAGCAGCAGUUGAUAUAACUCAAGUGGAUGGUAUCACUUUGCUUUCAAGCAGAGUCUGAAGAUUUUCAGAAUGGGAGGUUUAUGGGGAGGUACUUUAUUACCUGAAACUCAGGUCAUGCUAAUUUUUAUCAGGCCAUUUUGUAAUGGCCUUCAGACUUAAUUGAAACUGUCAAGUAAGCUAUUUUUAUCAGGCCAUUUUGUAAUGGCCUUCAGUCUUAAUUGAAACUGUCAAAUAAGCUUAGACUUCACAUGUAAGCACAGAAGGCAAUAUUGAACAUUCUGUGUGUGAGCUAGAAGAGAGGGAAUUUUUACAUGAAAAUACUCCUGGUGCUCUGAGGAAAAUUUAAUACUACUACUAAAUAAACAAAAUCCCAUCUUCAUUUUUUUUGCUCUCCUUUGAAAGAGAGCAUUUUUGGGCAGAUUGUUCAAUACAAACAAGCCUUUUAUAUGUGGAACAUUAUGGGGUAUUGGAGAGGUUUUAUGUUGAAUUAUUGAAUUUAAAAAAAAAAAACUUACGUAAUACCACGGGUAGAUCACAUUUUCAGGAAAGAUCAGAAACCAUUGUCUUGUCACAGGAACUCUGAAGAUCAGAUUACUCUGUGUUUAUGCAAUGUUCUUUGUCUUCAGCAGUUGCACUCCAGUAACUUUUUUUAAUUUACUGUAGGUACCUGAUUUAGACUUAUGUCACUUUUUUCCCCUAAGCAAUCUCUUCAACUUAGUCUAACUCUUCUUUUCCCACUGCAAGUAAGGCAUGUGAGAGAAAGGUGCAGUCAUUAACAUUUCCUGUGAAUCCAAUCCAACCAGCCUUUCUCAUUGCUCCAUUUGCAGAUGGUUACUUAAUCUACACUGUUCAUGGCCUUUCCUCCCUCAGAAAUUUCUAUUAAAAAAACCCAAAACUUACAUCCUUCAAGGUUUGAUAUUCAUAAUUAAUCCUUGAAAGAUUCCAAGGAUCCUCCAAGGAUCUCCAUAGUUACCAACAUGACAUCCAGACAAAGGAGCAUGAGUGAAGGAAGAGCUUACAAAUUUGACCAAUAUUUUAAACUCUUAUAAGCAUUUUAAGUUCCAUGGGCACACUGUCCCAUGUAUUUACUGCUAUAACACUCUCAGAGAACUUAAUUGCCACAAUAACCAGACCGCAAUUCUCACUCUGGUGCACUUCAUUUAGAUUAAAGAUACAUUGGCAGCUAUAGUAAAAAAAAAAAGUAGAAGAAAAAAGAAAAAGGCAUUGAAAAAUAUUACAAGGUGAAGACAGAAAAACACUUCUUUUUUAAUUUUCAGCACAGCCCAAAAAGUAGACUUUCCCACUUGGAAAAAAAUAGGAAUGAAGCAGAAUAUAUUUGCAUUUCAAGUGACAAAGUUUAAAAAUCAAAAUAUUUUAAUAACCACUAAUUGUGAGACAUCCCCGUGCUCAUUUACUCUAUCUUGGACUAGCAGCUAGUCUACAGCUGAAAGCCAGUUUAACACAUUCUGCAAGUUUUUGAGAGUACAUUACCCUUAUUCUGUAAUUCCAGCUACAUGAAUACAACACUGUAAAUAAAAUCUAUUUGAAAGCCGUGGCUGUACUAUACAAAUAAAUUAUUAUAUGGAGUUAUAGAGAGCUAGCAUGCUGGAAAUGCUGCCUCAUUCCAGUUUAUCCAGACUCACACAUUUCAACUCUUAGGCUAUACAAAUAAUUAAGUAAAACCAGUCAUGUGAUUAUGUGAUAAAUUAAUAGUUUUUUUUAAAGUUGCUUGUAGAUUAAGCUACUAGACCGUGCAUUUUUUUAAAUAAAUAUGCAAUCCCAGAAAUACAACUCAUUUAAAACUGCAUUUACACUUAAUGAUAUAUUUUCAUCCAGAUAAAAAUAAAUACAUGUUCAAGAACAAAACCAAAUCUCUUACUAAAUGGUUUGCAGAAUUUAUUAAGUCUCUUUUAAUAUACUCCAUACUUUAUCAAGCUAAUUGCAUAUAAAGUGAUCUCCACCAUAUACAUUACAGUUUCUGUGCAUCAUCUAAAAAAAAGUCACCAAAAAGUAAUAUUUUACAGGUUGCAGUUAACUUUUAAUUAACCUAAAAGUGAAUCCUUCUGUAAUUUAAGACACUAACCUGCACAUUGUGUCUAACUGCAGUAUUUAAAUUAUGUUUCACAGCAAGCUAAACCUGCAUUUCAGGGAAAAAUGUCACUGCCAUCUCAACUUCUGAACUUCUAGUCUACUUCCUUAACACCGCAAAAAAUUAAUGUGGUGUUCACUCCAAAUAAGGAAAGAAGUAUACAGUUCCCUUAAAACAAAGCCUGCUCAGAAUACAUAUGCUUUAAAAAAAUUAGGAAACUCCUCCAAGUAAAAGGAAUUCACCCAAUGUAUGAAUCAAAAAAACCUUUUAAGUUCUUCUUGAUUAAUGCUUGGUGCUGCUCAUAAAAAGCAAAACCAGCAAAAAGUGAAUUAGUACUGGAUAUGACUUAAAGCAAAGAAAAUUAGAAAAAUAUUAUACCUGCAACAAUCAUGUCCCAAUUUAGAUCAAUCUUUUAAAGGGUCUCAUAUAGAUAAUUAACAAAUAGAUUUUCUGGUAUUUUCAUAGGAUGCUCAUUUACUGGCCAGGCACAUAUAUUGUAAAUAUACAAAGAAUCCAGAGUGCUGAAGUUUACAGAGCACUUAAAGGAUUUAAUAUAACAGAGGUGGUUAGACACAGGAAAAAUAUUUAACAACUUGUAUAAAUAUAUUAAAAUCUCAGCAAGAAAUGUAGGAGCCCAUGCACACAAGACAGUAAAUCGAAGAAAACAUUUAAGACUUGACUUCUUCCAACAGCACCGACACCUGAAUUCUGGAAAGUCAGCAAUUUACAGCAUCUUAUAACCAUCUCUCUCCACACAAUCUAAAUGUACUGAAUCAUACCAACAUGACAUAGCACAUGAACAAGCAGCAGAUGCAUCAAGGGAACAGGAGCUAUAUGCAUCAUGUGGCCUGCCCAGUUAGAGGCAAACAUCAGAAAAAUUGUUUCUGAUAUAGGCUGAGAUACAAUCAAUAGAGCUAAUUGUAUACCCGUCAUUUUCAAGAGUUAAUCCACAGUGUGGGAAAGGGGAGCUUUAGGUAAAAAUUAUGCACCCAGUCUCAGAAAUGACAGAAGCAGAGAUUUGUCUUUCAAAAACUGGGUCCAUUCUGGACUGGCCUUGAUGCACAUGCAGUACA
Ficedula albicollis (Collared flycatcher) is the source of this 5188-nucleotide long non-coding RNA. Lineage: Eukaryota; Metazoa; Chordata; Aves; Passeriformes; Muscicapidae. The record is from Ensembl.